AGUGAACGCUGGCGGUAGGCCUAACACAUGCAAGUCGAACGGCAGCACAGUAAGAGCUUGCUCUUACGGGUGGCGAGUGGCGGACGGGUGAGGAAUACAUCGGAAUCUACUUUUUCGUGGGGGAUAACGUAGGGAAACUUACGCUAAUACCGCAUAUGACCUACGGGUGAAAGCAGGGGAUCUUCGGACCUUGCGCGAUUGAAUGAGCCGAUGUCGGAUUAGCUAGUUGGCGGGGUAAAGGCCCACCAAGGCGACGAUCCGUAGCUGGUCUGAGAGGAUGAUCGGCCACACUGGAACUGAGACACGGUCCAGACUCCUACGGGAGGCAGCAGUGGGGAAUAUUGGACAAUGGGCGCAAGCCUGAUCCAGCCAUACCGCGUGGGUGAAGAAGGCCUUCGGGUUGUAAAGCCCUUUUGUUGGGAAAGAAAAGCAGCAGGUUAAUACCCCGCUGUUCUGACGGUACCCAAAGAAUAAGCACCGGCUAACUUCGUG
This 492-nucleotide ribosomal RNA is filed under the name uncultured bacterium. RNAcentral's name for it is "partial 16S ribosomal RNA". It matches the Rfam family "Bacterial small subunit ribosomal RNA", at positions 29 to 507 of the family's 1533-position model. The record is from RNAcentral.